GGACGAACGCUGGCGGCGUGCUUACCACAUGCAAGUCGAACGGUGAAGCUCCAGCUUGCUGGAGUGGAUCAGUGGCGAACGGGUGAGUAACACGUGAGCAACCUGCCCCUGACUCUGGAAUAAGCGCUGGAAACGGCGUCUAAUACUGGAUACGAGAAGGGUCCGCAUGGGCACUUUCUGGAAAGUUUUUCGGUUGGGGAUGGGCUCGCGGCCUAUCAGCUUGUUGGUGAGGUAAUGGCUCACCAAGGCGACGACGGGUAGCCGGCCUGAGAGGGCGACCGGCCACACUGGGACUGAGACACGGCCCAGACUCCUACGGGAGGCAGCAGUGGGGAAUAUUGCACAAUGGGCGAAAGCCUGAUGCAGCGACGCCGCGUGAGGGAUGACGGCCUUCGGGUUGUAAACCUCUUUCAGCAGGGAAGAAGCGAAAGUGACGGUACCUGCAGAAGAAGCACCGGCUAACUACGUG
Molecule: ribosomal RNA, 469 nt
Filed under: uncultured bacterium
Lineage: Bacteria
Description: partial 16S ribosomal RNA
Rfam family: Bacterial small subunit ribosomal RNA
Source: RNAcentral